AGAAUCAACGCUGGCGGCGUGCCUAACACAUGCAAGUCGAACGCGAAAGGGGAGCAAUCCCUGAGUAGAGUGGCAAACGGGUGAGUAACACGUGGGUGACCUACCUUCGAGUGGGGGAUAACGUCCCGAAAGGGACGCUAAUACCGCAUGACAUCCUGUCUUUGGAAAGACGGAGAUCAAAGCCGGGAUCGCAAGACCUGGCGCUUGAAGAGGGGCCCGCGCCUGAUUAGCUAGUUGGUAGGUAACGGCCUACCAAGGCAACGAUCAGUA
This 270-nucleotide ribosomal RNA is filed under the name uncultured bacterium. Its description in RNAcentral is "partial small subunit ribosomal RNA". It matches the Rfam family "Bacterial small subunit ribosomal RNA", at positions 26 to 285 of the family's 1533-position model. The record is from RNAcentral.